UACGGAGGGGGCUAGCGUUGUUCGGAAUUACUGGGCGUAAAGCGCACGUAGGCGGACUGUUAAGUCGGGGGUGAAAUCCUGGGGCUCAACCUCAGAAUUGCCUUCGAUACUGGCAGCCUUGAGUACGGGAGAGGUGAGUGGAAUUCCCAGUGUAGAGGUGAAAUUCGUAGAUAUUGGGAAGAACACUAGUGGCGAAGGCGGCUCACUGGCCCGUAACUGCCGCUGAGGUGCGAAAGCGUGGGGAGCAAACAGG
This 253-nucleotide ribosomal RNA is filed under the name uncultured bacterium. Its description in RNAcentral is "partial 16S ribosomal RNA". It matches the Rfam family "Bacterial small subunit ribosomal RNA", at positions 524 to 776 of the family's 1533-position model. The record is from RNAcentral.